Molecule: long non-coding RNA, 586 nt
Filed under: Phoenix dactylifera (date palm)
Lineage: Eukaryota; Viridiplantae; Streptophyta; Magnoliopsida; Arecales; Arecaceae
Description: long non-coding RNA (PDAC_LNC012569)
Source: RNAcentral
GAUGGGGUUGUAGCAUCGAGCAUCAGUCCCUUAAUGACGUGGGGUGAAGCUCUUUCUUUCUUUAUUUUUUAUUUUUUAUUUUUUAUUUUUUUUUGAUACAUAGGUUGUUCGGUGAAGCAUUUUUCCUGUAUUAAAUAUUAAUGUAGCCAAACUGAGCAGUGCCACCAAGAGGAAGUACUCUUGCAGCGCCAAUCGUCCAAGUCAAUAUGCUUAAUGCAGGUCAAUAGUUUGCCAUGACGAAAGCACUUUGGUCAACUAGUCGAUAAAAUCUUGAACGGUUCGGAAAUUUGAACAGGAAUCACCAUUGAACCGUUAUUUUUGACUAGUCAAGAAUUAUCACACUUCUGCAAUAAAUUAAUUACAGCAACCCAAAUUAAAAAGUAAAUUGGCAUCCAAUGAUCAAUUCAUGACAUUCUUAGUUAGGCAACUCACAGCUUACUGCUAGCUAGUUUGAACCUUAGACCGACUCUAUGGAGGCGCCACCCACUCCACUCUAUUGGCUCGAAAAAUUUAUUCUAUCAGAAGGCGAACCAUAUACUGUCGAACUCACUUAUUUUGAUAUCGAUGAUUGUGGUGAUCUUUGAUC